RNAcentral lists this ribosomal RNA (1309 nucleotides) under metagenome. Its description in RNAcentral is "bacterial LSU rRNA". It matches the Rfam family "Bacterial large subunit ribosomal RNA", at positions 1502 to 2803 of the family's 2925-position model. The record is from RNAcentral.
AUAUGUUGGUUCAAGCUUGUAGUCGUGCCUGGUAGGUAAAUCCGCCAAGCUUAGAUGAGGAGUGAUAACGAGGCUGCUUGCAGCCGAAGUGAGUGAUACCCUGCUUCCAGGAAAAGCCACUAAGCUUCAGCUACACACGACCGUACCGCAAACCGACACUGGUGCGCGAGAUGAGUAUUCUAAGGCGCUUGAGAGAACUCGGGAGAAGGAACUCGGCAAAUUGACACCGUAACUUCGGAAGAAGGUGUGCCUUUAGUAGGUGAAGUCCCUCGCGGAUGGAGCCCAAUGAGGUUGCAAAAAAUCGGUGGCUGCGACUGUUUAUUAAAAACACAGCACUCUGCAAACACGAAAGUGGACGUAUAGGGUGUGACGCCUGCCCGGUGCUGGAAGAUUAAAUGAUGGGGUGCAAGCUCUUGAUUGAAGUCCCAGUAAACGGCGGCCGUAACUAUAACGGUCCUAAGGUAGCGAAAUUCCUUGUCGGGUAAGUUCCGACCUGCACGAAUGGCGUAACGAUGGCCACACUGUCUCCUCCCGAGACUCAGCGAAGUUGAAAUGUUUGUGAUGAUGCAAUCUCCCCGCGGAAAGACGGAAAGACCCCAUGAACCUUUACUGUAGCUUUGUAUUGGACUUUGAACAGAUCUGUGUAGGAUAGGUGGGAGGCUUUGAAGUGAGGAUGCUAGUUCUCAUGGAGCCAACGUUGAAAUACCACCCUGGUGUGUUUGAGGUUCUAACCUAGGUCCAUUAUCUGGAUCGGGGACAGUGCAUGGUAGGCAGUUUGACUGGGGCGGUCUCCUCCCAAAGUGUAACGGAGGAGUUCGAAGGUACGCUAGUUACGGUCGGACAUCGUGACGAUAGUGCAAUGGCAUAAGCGUGCUUAACUGCGAGACUGACAAGUCGAGCAGAUGCGAAAGCAGGACAUAGAGAUCCGGUGGUUCUGUAUGGAAGGGCCAUCGCUCAACGGAUAAAAGGUACUCUGGGGAUAACAGGCUGAUACCGCCCAAGAGUUCAUAUCGACGGCGGUGUUUGGCACCUCGAUGUCGGCUCAUCUCAUCCUGGGGCUGUAGCCGGUCCCAAGGGUAUGGCUGUUCGCCAUUUAAAGAGGUACGUGAGCUGGGUUUAAAACGUCGUGAGACAGUUUGGUCCCUAUCUUCCGUGGGCGCUGCAGAUUUGAGGAAGCCUGCUCCUAGUACGAGAGGACCGGAGUGGACACACCUCUGGUGUAUCGGUUGUCACGCCAGUGGCAUUGCCGAGUAGCUAAGUGUGGAAGAGAUAACCGCUGAAAGCAUCUAAGCGGGAAACUCGUUUCAAG